AUCGCAUCCAAGAGCUCGCGUCGCCUAA
This 28-nucleotide small RNA is filed under the name Bombyx mori (domestic silkworm). RNAcentral's name for it is "ovarian small RNA-12492". The record is from RNAcentral. Lineage: Eukaryota; Metazoa; Arthropoda; Insecta; Lepidoptera; Bombycidae.